This 734-nucleotide ribosomal RNA is filed under the name uncultured Bacteroidota bacterium. RNAcentral's name for it is "bacterial SSU rRNA". It matches the Rfam family "Bacterial small subunit ribosomal RNA", at positions 60 to 789 of the family's 1533-position model. Lineage: Bacteria; Pseudomonadati; Bacteroidota. The record is from RNAcentral.
AGUCGUGGGGCAGCGCGGGUAGCAAUACCUGGCGGCGACCGGCAAACGGGUGCGGAACACGUACGCAACCUUCCUUUAAGCGGGGAAUAGCCCAGGGAAACUUGGAUUAAUACCCCAUAAGACAGUGGAGUGGCAUCACUCAGCUGUUAAAGCUCCGGCACUUAAAGAUGGGCGUGCGGCUGAUUAGGUAGUUGGCGGGGUAACGGCCCACCAAGCCGACGAUCAGUAACUGGUGUGAGAGCACGACCAGUCACACGGGCACUGAGACACGGGCCCGACUCCUACGGGAGGCAGCAGUAAGGAAUAUUGGUCAAUGGACGCAAGUCUGAACCAGCCAUGCCGCGUGGAGGAUGAAGGCCCUCUGGGUUGUAAACUUCUUUUAUUGGGGAAGAAACCGGACUUUUCUAAGACCGUUGACGGUACCCGAUGAAUAAGCACCGGCUAACUCCGUGCCAGCAGCCGCGGUAAUACGGAGGGUGCAAGCGUUAUCCGGAUUCACUGGGUUUAAAGGGUGCGUAGGUGGGCAGGUAAGUCAGUGGUGAAAUCUCUGGGCUUAACCCAGAAACUGCCGUUGAUACUAUCUGUCUUGAAUAUAGCGGAGGUGAGUGGAAUAUGUCAUGUAGCGGUGAAAUGCUUAGAUAUGACAUAGAACAUCGAUUGCGAAGGCAGCUCGCUACACUAUUAUUGACACUGAGGCACGAAAGCGUGGGGAUCAAACAGGAUUAGAUACCCUG